Clostridium sp. CAG:127 is the source of this 165-nucleotide non-coding RNA. NCBI's taxonomy places the organism in Bacteria, Bacillati, Bacillota, Clostridia, Eubacteriales, Clostridiaceae. The record is from Rfam.
UAUGUUUGGAAUUUAGAAGUUCUUGAUGUUCUGUUUGAUACACAGCAAUAUCUGAACACGAUGUUCAGGUAAGCCGCCACUGAGCCAUGGACGGCGAAUUGGCGGCGGUGGCGUAUAAUAUGAUUUGUGAAUUAGAACAUUUAGAACUUCUUAACUUCAAUACAU